AUUUAUAUAGUUUAUAAUCAAAACACUACACUUUCACUGUAGAAAAAAGUAAAACUUUAUAAAUA
This 65-nucleotide transfer RNA is filed under the name Eupolyphaga sp. NS-2016. RNAcentral describes it as "tRNA-Glu". It matches the Rfam family "tRNA". From Rfam's summary of the family: Transfer RNA (tRNA) molecules are approximately 80 nucleotides in length. The record is from RNAcentral. Lineage: Eukaryota; Metazoa; Arthropoda; Insecta; Blattodea; Corydiidae.